This is a long non-coding RNA of Calidris pugnax (ruff), 489 nucleotides long. RefSeq lists it as uncharacterized. Lineage: Eukaryota; Metazoa; Chordata; Aves; Charadriiformes; Scolopacidae. The record is from RefSeq and is a predicted model, not a curated record. The transcript has 3 exons.
AAGGGGAUCUCAAUAAAUCUCCAGGUUUCCGUCCUGCUGCGGGGACGGGACGCUGUCUCCCCGAGCCCAGCCUUCCCUUCCCUUCCUCUCUCCAGCAGAACGUCUCCGCCGAAGCCCGGCAGAACGCCAGCGUGGCCAUCCUGCCCGUGGUGGCCACCAACGCCACCUGCUCCGUCCGCGUGGCUGCUGUCACCAAGGGGGGAGUGGGACCUUUCAGCAGCCCAGUGGAGGUCUUCAUCCCUGGCGGUGGAUUAAUAACCUCCGCCCCCUCUUCGACUCCAGCCUCUGGGAACGCGGACUCCUUUGUCAUAGCCCUGGGCUUUAUCUGUGGGACAAUUGCUGUGGGGCUGAUCCUCUGCUUGACUGUGGUCAUCCAGAAAAGAUGCGUGGAAACAAAAUAUGGGAAUGCUUUCAGCAGAAACGACUCAGAGCUGGCAGUGAACUACACGGCCAAGAAGUCCUACUGCCGGAGAGCUGUUGAACUUACAC